GGCCGUGUGGCCCAACGGAUAAGGCGUCGGACUUCGGAUCCGAAGAUUGCGGGUUCGAAUCCCGUCAUGGUCU
Molecule: non-coding RNA, 73 nt
Organism: Ctenocephalides felis (cat flea)
Lineage: Eukaryota; Metazoa; Arthropoda; Insecta; Siphonaptera; Pulicidae
Source: the annotation of a RefSeq genome assembly